GACGAACGCUGGCGGCGUGCUUAAUACAUGCAAGUCGAGCGAGUUUAUAGGUUUAGCUUGCUAAACUUAUAAAUUAGCGGCGGACGGGUGAGUAACGCGUGGGCAAUCUGCCCUCUAGCUCGGGAUAACAGUUCGAAAGAGCUGCUAAUACCGGAUAUGCUCACAUUUCGGCAUCGGAAUGUGAGAAAAGUAAUACACUAGAGGAUGAGCCCGCGUCCCUUAGCUAGUUGGUGAGGUAACGGCCCACCAAGGCGACGAUGGGUAGCCGACCUGAGAGGGUGACCGGCCACACUGGGACUGAGACACGGCCCAGACUCCUACGGGAGGCAGCAGUAGGGAAUUUUCCGCAAUGGGCGAAAGCCUGACGGAGCAACGCCGCGUGAGGGAUGAAGGUUUUCAGAUCGUAAACCUCUGUCUUCAGGGACGAUAAUGACGGUACCUGAGGAGGAAGCCACGGCUAACUACGUGCCAGCAGCCGCGGUAA
RNAcentral lists this ribosomal RNA (484 nucleotides) under uncultured bacterium. Its description in RNAcentral is "partial 16S ribosomal RNA". It matches the Rfam family "Bacterial small subunit ribosomal RNA", at positions 28 to 523 of the family's 1533-position model. The record is from RNAcentral.